CGGAUUACAAGUUAUGACCCGGUCAUCACUAUGUUUAUAUCGCUACUGUGUCAUGUUUACUUAACAAACAGAAAACAUGCUCCGUGUUUCUAUCACGUUACAGGAACACGAGGCGACGUUUGGGAGAGAAAUGCUGAGAAUGCUGUGGGAACACAAGCCCAUACGCGAGUAUUUACACAGUUUUUUCGAGUUCUCCUAAAUUUUUACUAGUGUUUCUAUAACUCGAUAGAAACAUGUAACAUACUUUCAAUUUCGUGAUGAAAAAUCACUGUUAUCGCUACCUUAUGUUGUGGGAUUGUGCGUACCUAGUGCGUACCUACAGAUAUCCGGGAGCUUCGUGACCGAGAGCAUGCCAACUCGGCGAGAGAGAGGGACGAACGUGGCGAGAUGGCGGAAAGAUUGAUUACCUUUGAACAUAUUUAAGUAAAGUUCAAUGUUAGAAACACCUUUCACAUGUCACAGUUCUUUAGUGAGUUUUUAACGCUCGACUCGUUUUGUUACAAGACAAGGAAGGAAAGUAUGCAAGCAAAGUUAAGGCGCUGUGGUCGAACUUUUGUGCUGCCAUGCUGCCAUGCUGCCAUGCUGCCAUGCUGCCAUGCUGCCAUGCUGCCAUGCUUACAAAACCAGCAAAACCCAGAAACAGAUUUAAGUUCAAACUGGUGAGCUUAGACGCUCAACUUCAAUGUUCUGCAUGAGUUAUCGUUUUUGGCGUUGUUAUGUUUCUGGCUGGUUCUAUUGUAGCAGCAUUCAAAUUGCUUUUCUUUUGUACGUGCUGUGUUUGAAGAGGACAACGGCGAGUGAAAACAGGAGUUAGACUAAUCCUAUCAGAUGCCAUACAGAUAUGAACAGCAAAAGAUCAUUUGAUUGACUAGGAAAGAUGGUCUGGACAGUCGGAAGAUCACUGUAAGGAUUGCCAAGCAUAGGUGAGAAAAGCUGGAAGUCAGUAAAAACUACCAGGGAAAGAAGGACAACUUCAGGAUGAUGUUUCAUUAUGAGAUCAGUUGAUGUGUGAAACACACUAAGCUAUAGAGCAAUACAAGCCAGUGUAGAUUGUGUGCAUUAUGUUGUCCACAGCAUUGCAAGAAUACUAGCAGUACUACUUGGUUCCAUUGUCCUCGGUGUUCAGUUUGUGCAUGAUGGGAUCCACAGCAUCAUAAGAAUACCAGCAGAAAUCUACCGUUACCUUUGCUUAUUGCUUCGAAAAAGUAUCAGAAAUCAGUUUGCGGUUAUCCUGACGUUUGGAGAUGCUAUGAAACACAAAUAACCUGCUACAACAACUUGACUUGAAGCACGUGCUUCAAACAAAGAUGUCACAGUGUAUUGUCAACUUAUGGAAUUUGAAUUCUCCUCAAGGAUUUUUGGCAUUACAAGCGAGACAGCGAAAGGAUAAGGACAGAGACGAGCACAGAGGUACUGAAGUUGGCGAGCGACGGCAAUAAAGACACUGGAGACAGACACUGGAGACAGACACUGGAGACAGACACUGGAGGAAACAAUAAGGACAAAACAUUGAAGAUAACACAACGCAAAGUAGGAUAGAUAGAUAAGAUCGCUAGUGUUUUCUUUUCUCGGAUAAGUAAGAACAAGAAGGCAGACUUCGAAACACAGGAGGACGUUCGUUUUAGUUUCAAACAAGUUUAUUUUCGCUCUGUUUUGCGGCUCGUAAAAUUUAUUUACUGAUUCCAAUUGUCUUGUUUGAUACACGAGCCCAAGUCUCCAAAGUGUAAUCUACCAAGUUCGUAAGGUUUUCGAGUAAUAAACGUUUUUCUCACAGGAAACUCGUACACUGUGUAACUGGAAUAAGUUUGUAACUAACAGUUUUCUUCGCUCUUUAACGCUUUUGUUUGAAAUUUGACGGAGAUUCAAGAUCCUCGAUUGUCUAAUUUUAUCAAGAAGAUUUCUUGCUUCAAAACCGCAACAAAACGUUUGAUUUUAAUUUUUAAUUCAGCUUCUUAACUUGCUUAUCACAGCCACACAGUGUUGGUUUCUCGGAGGCAACUUGUGAAGAUUUUGCUUCUUCGUUUGAUUUCGUAUCAAAACUGUUCAGAAAGUCGAGUUAGCUAUCCAAUUUGAAAUGUUUCCCUGUAAACUUUUUUUGACUAAGAGCUGGUGCAAGUUAGUGUUUCAUGAAAGCUUUCAAUAUCAUUGUAAUUUUUUUGAAGUAACUAUUACUCGUGAAGACCCAUGUCAAAAUUUUUAAUUUUCCCGCCGAAAAAAUACGGGGGCUUAAAAUACGCAUGCGCCAUUUUUUUUUUA
Orbicella faveolata is the source of this 2256-nucleotide long non-coding RNA. RefSeq lists it as uncharacterized. NCBI's taxonomy places the organism in Eukaryota, Metazoa, Cnidaria, Anthozoa, Scleractinia, Merulinidae. The record is from RefSeq and is a predicted model, not a curated record.